AAAAAAACCCACAACAAAAAAAAAUUAAAAAAAUGAGAAAAAACAAAAAAAAAGAAAAAAAAGAUACUUGUGUCAUGAUGUUCAACGAAUGAUCCAUUGUAAAUUUAAAUGCCAUUUUUCACUGUACUGGUGAACAAAAUGCAAUGAAUAAAAUACAUUCAUGUACCCAGGUGAAGCCGGCAGCCGCCUGCUCCUUUCUGUCCCUUCCUCGCGUCAGCUGGUUUUUGGGGUGCCUGUGGGAUGGGGGGGCACAGCGAGGGUGGGGACUGACCCCGGAGCCCUUCACGGGCUCCCAGUGCAGGGGGAGCCACUGGCUGACCCACUUAUGCCUUUCGCCUGAAAUAGCAAGCCAGCAGCUCGCGCCUCUGUGGUGUCAGCGCCGUCCCGCCCAAGAGGGGUCCCCUCUGCACACCCCAAAGGGAGCUGGUGCCCAGAGAGCCCUGGGGACACUGCCAGCAGAACCCAUGCACCCUCCACACCAGCUCCCAGGUGCAGCCAGUGCUGCCAGCACACAGUGGCACGCCUGUCAUCCACCCCGGCACUCGUGUGUCGCCACACUGCUGGCCCCAGGCACGGGGGAACAUGGGCCAAGUAUGUGUGGCACACCGGGCUUGUCAGCACAGCCAGGAGUGGGGCUGGACAGGCACAGAGGCAGAUGUGCUGCCCCUCCUGCCCUAUGGCACUCCCGGCCCCGUGCUGGCACAUCCCAGCCUGGAUCCCUCGCUACCUGGCCAGGGGUGAUAAUUACACGGUGUCCUUGCAAACCCCCAUGGCCAGGGAGGCUGGGACAGGGGUCCUGGUAUAGGAUGGGGGGAAUGGGGUGGAGCAGAGGGCACCCCUGGUCCUGCCCUCCAUACCCAGUGCCUGCAUCCCCAUUCUGCUCUCAGCCUGGCUGCCUGUGCCAAGGGGAAGGGAUGGGGGGCAGGGAGCCACUCCCCGCAAGAUGGAUGGGUGAAAUUAAACCCGAUUUGGUUUCAUUACUGGCUGCAAAGCCUGGAGUCCUGGCUGCUCUCCAGCUCAGCGAGGAAAGGCCAGGGAGGGGGCACAGAAUCACCAAGGCAGGCCAUGAAUCCCCCUCUUUCCUCCCAUACUCACAUCACUGGGCAGCUUGCAGUGGGAUGCACCGGUUCCCUAUGCCCCACCUGUGAGGAUGGAGCAUUUUAAGGCUUUAUUGGGUGUGGGGAGGUCGGCAAAGCCUCCUGGGUCACAGCUGGAUGGCAAGGAGAUAGUCCUCAUCGUCG
This 1241-nucleotide long non-coding RNA is filed under the name Malurus cyaneus samueli. RNAcentral describes it as "lncRNA (ENSMCSG00000013887.1)". Lineage: Eukaryota; Metazoa; Chordata; Aves; Passeriformes; Maluridae. The record is from RNAcentral.